UGCCGUGUGUUUUGGACCUUAGUCAUUCUUCUCUGGACACAUUCUAGCUUGUUGAUAUCCUUCUUGAACUAGUUCAUUCAACAGUUUCACAUGAUAGCUGAUGUCCAUAUUAUCUUCCAACCUUGUUUUUUUCUCAUUACUGAGAUGCCUUUUUAAAAAAUUUGCAGACGAUGGCAAGAUUUUUCACGGGAGCGGAGUGGGAGAUCCCUUUGGUCCACGCUGCUACAAGGGAGACAUCAUGGGCUGUGGGAUCAUGUUCCCCCGUGACUAUAUCCUUGACAGUGAAGGUGAUAGUGAUGACAGCUGUGAUACGGUCGCUAUUAGGGCCAAACCCGAGGUGUAAGGAAUGUCCUGUACCUGCAUCAGGAAGCUGAAGAGGAUGAAGAUGAGGAAGAGAUGGGAAGAAGACAUGGAACAGGAACAUGAAGGCAAGAAAGUAGUGGUGUUCUUUACACGCAACGGGAAGAUAAUUGGAAAGAAGGAUGCUGUGGUGCCUGGAGGGGGCUUUUAUCCCACCAUUGGGAUGUUGAGCAGCGGGGAGAAAGUCAAGGUGGAUCUGCACCCGCUCAGUGGCUAAGGAACAAGGGCUGAGGAGCCCCAUCACUUUCCUUCUGCCAUUCCGUGGGACUGCCGGAUGUACCCAGGCUCUUCUUCAUUGCACUUCCAGUCUCCAUUUCCAGGGGCAGCGUUGUUGUUGUUUUUGUCUGUGGGGCCAUAUAGAUCUCUGUCUACUUAACAUCACCUGAGCCACCUAUUCUUUUCUUUCCUGUUUCAUUCCAACAAUUCUCAGGCUCUUUGUGACACUGUUGGGGAAGGAAAAAAAAUCUUGAGGCUCUUUUGUUUCCCAAGCAGGUCUGGGAUUUAGUUGCUGGGUCAAAGGCCCAGUCUCUUCCCCUCUUUCAGUGAUCCAUCAGUCACAGCCUCAUGAGGCAGUGUGGUCCUGGUCCUGGUCCUGGGUGUGAGGUUGUGACAUCUUGGGCUUUGAAAUAGAGGCUGGGGUAUGGCCUGGCCUAAUCCAGUACUGGAGGAGUUCAGGGCCAUCUUCUGUGAGGAGUUGCUUCAUCACAGAUAGAGCUGAUAGAACAGUGCAGCUCUCUGCUGUGGCUAUGCACCAUAUUUUUUCUUUCUGUGUAAUACUUUGGAUAUUUGUAACCUCUUUGCAGCUGCAGGCCAGCCCCAUUGAAUCAUAAUCCGAAAUAUGUUGUUCACCUGAUCCCAACACUGUGCAGCAAACUCUUGUGCCGUGCUCUUGGGACCAGCCCUACCAUUAGGCAGAGGGAGGCAGCUCAUUGGGUGCUGAGUUCAGUUCUUCCUUUACUCCCCAGUUGUUUUUCUCUGUUGGAGGAGGGAACUACAUACACCACACAACCUGUUCUGGACCUCCUAAACUGGCCUGCUGCCCUCAGGUGUCAUAGAAGACACACAAUCUCUUUUGUUGGCAUUCAGGUGAAGUUUAGCUACCAGUCCAGCCAGCAUCCUUACAUGGAGAAGGAAAGGCUCCACCUUAUUCUCUUCCAAAUGUCUUGGGCUAGCCCUUCACCUUCUUAUUAAACUUAUUUAGUUAAAUCUGUAGGUGUGCAAUCCCAUGGCUUCUAACUUUCUUGUCCAAAUGACUAUAUACUAGCUUUGAAGAUGAUGUGAGAGGAUGUUCUAGAUCCAAGGAGAAGAAAUCUUUCUAGGGCUGCACCUUUUUUUUUUAUGAGCUCUCUGCCUGAUUCGAUGUAAACAUGUCUUCUGCCUAGUAAUAGCCCUGGGGAGGAAAAGAAAGGGGUGUUGGUGACCUUCAGGCAAAAUAACCUCUGCCAUCUUCCUUCACUAAACUGCUGAGGGUUUUUUAAUAUCAUGAGCUAUAUAUAGGACCAUGCUGGCUGCUGAAUGAUAUAGUUCAUAGCCUGGUUUCUGUGCUGUUACAUUAUCUCUAUACUGCUGGUUGUUACUUAGAAGAUGAGGGUAAAAAGAAGGCAUGGAACAUGAACUGUGUCCUGAAGUUUGAUUGUAAAGUGUUUACUCAUUGCCUUUCCUACUCUUCUUCCCUCAAGUUAAAGGCAGGCCUUUAUAGUCAUAGCCCUGCCCUUGUAUGCAUUCCCUUCUGAGGUCUCUUGCAUUCUGCAUUGUACAUGUGUUGCUGUAAUCAUUUCCCUGCUCUGGCUUUGAAGCUCACAAGGGUUCUUUGGAUGGAUGAAGAAACCUUGUCAUGGUGCCAUUUGUGUAUAUGUGGCUUAUCAGUGGCAAGAGAAGCCAAAGAGUAGUAGUUUCAUUGACACUUGAGGACAGUGGGUAGACAAAGGACAAGUCACUACAUGGCCCUAUUCCCAUUUCUCUGGCCCUGUGUAGUCACGGGUAGUCUUGCUGCUAAAAUUAGAAUAUUCUGGGAACCUGAGUUGGGAUGGCCAUGAAAGCUAUUGCAUUGGCUCCCCCUGGUGAUGUACUUAGCUUUGUGGAAAUUGUCCUGUUUUAUAAGUGGGCUGGGAUGGGAGCAACACAUCCUUUUCUGCUUCUCUUUCUCUCUUGAAUAUUGUUAUCUUACCAUCAGUCCUUCCUGAUUAUUGGAGGGGUAAAGGACUGCUUCUUAUCUUCCAUUCUAACCUUGCUGCUGCUGUUGCACACUGUACUUCCUUUCCCCCUGUUUCUGAAAGAAUAUGUUGCUGCAGAAGAAAGGAGGUAGGGUGAUCGGGGUGGGGAGUCAGUGUAUGAAAGAUUGUGGCAGCCUUGAUGAGUGUGCUAUGCAAAAUUCCCUGGCUACAACAGACCUUUGCAAGGAGCCAAAAUACUGCUCCCUCUGCCCAUUGUGCAGUCUUCUCUUGGUCUCUGGUGGCUAAUGGAUGCCUGGUCUGAACAGAGCCCUCUUCUGUCCAGCUCUAUGUGUGUGCCUCUGAUUCCUUCUGCAUCUCGAUAGACAGAGUCUUGAUAUGCUCAAUAAAACUUGAGAUUUCCAUACUUAUCCAACACCUGAAUAAGCUUCUGUCAUAUUUAAUAUGCAUCUCCUACAAAGGCCCCUGAUAUGAUAGAACACUUAUCUGGACCUAUUAUUGCUUGCCUUUUAAAAAAACAUCAACCCUUAAAUAGCAGCAGCAGUAGCAUUCUUCUCUUAUAUUUUUUAAAAAUUAAAAUAAUAGCAAAAUUAAAGCA
Long non-coding RNA from Sceloporus undulatus (fence lizard), 3129 nucleotides. RefSeq lists it as uncharacterized. The transcript has 3 exons. Lineage: Eukaryota; Metazoa; Chordata; Lepidosauria; Squamata; Phrynosomatidae. The record is from RefSeq and is a predicted model, not a curated record.